UCGGCGUCGUACGGCACGGGAGAUCCCUCCGGUGGUCAUCCAUGGACGUGGCGGCGAGCGCUCUGCUUCCUCUGCUCCGGCCACGGGCCGCUGCCGUGGUCUCGCGCGGGGCCGGACCUAUGGCAGGGUGGGGCGAAACUGGUGGUUUCGGGACGGGGAGCUGGUUGGAAGGACUGGAGCUCCGUUGCGGAGCUGCCCAUCACUGGCCCAAGUGGUUGCCAGUCGUGGCCGUGGGCCAUUCCUCCCCCUCCCCCCUUCCCCAUCCUCAUGUGUUCUCGGUUCCGGCGUUGCUCGAGGUGGAGGUGGUUGGCCGGCGGUCUCGGAGGCAGUUUGGGUGCGGAUUUGCUCAAAGUCUCGGCCUUUGGUGAUCAUCAGGGCGGUCUGGAGGCAGAGCGGCGGCUCUGGCGGCAGGAGGCGCGUUGGUCGUGGGCUGACCGUGCGGCUCGGGUGCGGGCGGGCAGCCACGGUCGCUUGGGCGGCAUGGCUGCGGGUGGUUGGUGGAGCGGGGUUGCGACGGAGAGGUUGGAGCACCGGGGUUCACCACUUGACCAGUCCCGGUACUGGCCGACGGAGGCGGCGUCCGCGGACGCCGUUCCCCUCCCUGCAGGCUUCGUCGUGGUGCUCCCACCGCCUCCUACGCGUCACUCCGGGUGAAAACUUGAUCUUCUGGAUCAGAUGAUGACGGCUUUCUACGGUCGUAUCCUUCUUGAGGGUGUCGUCUUGGAGUCCCCGCUUUGGUCGUGUCCGGCUCAUCACUCCUCGGUUGAUUGUUCAUCUUCAUGGUGGUUAUCGGCUUAUCAUUAGGGUGCUUAGUCGUCGUUGGGGUGAUGUGUUCGGUGCUCGGCACCUUUGUAUCUCGCCUUGGGUGCGUGCGUUGAGUGUGGUGGUGGAGUGCGUUUGUAUCUUACUCACAUGUGUUGGUGAUGAUGCUUUAUCUAUAAAGCGGGGGAAACCCUUUUUCUUAAAGAGAAAAGAAUAUUGAGCCCUUUAUAAAGAAAAUUCAUGAGAGCUUUGCAUCAUGCAGUUGUCCGUGUUAUUGUUGGGGGUACUCUUGGACGGCUCAUACAAACACCCGGUCGGCAGCAAGGUCAAGAACUAUGCCCGCACCUGCCGCUGUGGGCACGACCGUGGAAAAUCGGGAUUGCAUGAGCUCCUGAUUUUAUUUCAAUAGAUUAAUUAGUAACUAUACAUUCUCGUUGUACUAGUUCUCAAUUUAAUCUGAAUAGUUGUAUUGAUCUCCUCCAUCCCAUCCCCGCACCUCAAAUCCUGCCCUGAAUAGAUAAUCACUCGUCAAAAAAAUUUAUUGCCCCAAAACUGUAAAACCUAUGUUGAGAUUUUAGACUGCUGAUAUUUUUUUGUUCUCCAGCAUGCAUACAAAACUGCAUCACAAUUCGAAACUGCUAUCAUAUCCUUUCAGAAAGGCUCAUUGGGAAAUAACAUUAAAUGAAAGGUGCGUCCAUAUGGUAGUAUUAGUGAACACACAUAUACUAGCUAGGCAUUAUGCUCAUGGAUGCAGCCACUCGCUAAUACAUAUCAGCAGGGAAACAAGGGACAGCAUAUGGAAACAGUACAUGGGUCAAUGAAGCAUAUUUUAUUUGUCUUGAUGAACAUAUAGACCAAUGUAAACUAAAAGAAGCAUUUGUCUUGAUGAACAAAUUUUAUCCGCUCGCAGCAGAACACCAACCGUCGCCAAUGAAGAAUAGCGUAGAUUGGAGUGAACCUACUUGAAGACACAUGAGCGUAGAUGAAUUACAACCAGAUUCAAGCAAAUCCACCAAGGACAGAUCCGCCGGUGACACACCUCCACAUGCCCACCGAUGAUGCUAGGCACACCAUCAGGACGGGGGCUAGGUGGGGAGAACCUUAUUCCAUCUUCAGAAAGCCGCCGUCAUCUCGUCUUCCGGAGCAGGAAAUAAACCCUAACAAAACGCAAAGAAACAACUGAAAACAGAGCCGAGAUCCACCGCGCAGCCAUCGCCCUAAGGCCACUGGAGACGAGGCGGACCAAUCGCAGUGCCGGUGGGAGGCAGGGGAACCCUAGACAUUUCUUGGGGAGGAGGCAACCCGCUUGGGUAUGAGAAAUUGGCAACUAAAAGAAUAAUUGAUCAGGCAGAAUCUACUAUGUACCAAAAACUAACAAAAUCAUGGGUCGUUAGGUUCUCUCCUAAAAAUGGUCGGAUAUAUUAUACACCAAUAAUGAACACCAUGGCUCUUUUUGUAUCCGGUGGCCUUAAUCUGUUCUUCAAGGCAUGUGUUGUAUCUAUUUGUUUCGGACAAUACAAUCAAAGAGGGUUUGCAAGUUGCUGAGGAUAAUAUGUCUAGCUAUAUGAUAUCCAAAAUAGCACUUCAUGGUUUGGUAAUGUGUCACUUUCAAAGACUGAUGGGCCUGGUCAUAUUUGAGGAAGACAAUGACAAAUAAAAUCUUGGUCUUAGUCCUCUAUAUAGUUUGUCUUCAAGGCAUGAUGUAUUAAUUUGCCAAGCAAUAAAAAUUAAAACGCGAUAGCAUAUUUCCUCAAAAGUCUCUAUCUUGGCAAAAUAAGAAAUAGAAAACGACGCAUGACCUUUCUUCUUUCUGAGGGCUGAUACAUGUACAUGAUAUUGUUCCGCCCCACAAGUAUAGUCUAUCCAAAUAAAAAGGUCGGCCGAAGAAAAUGAAAAAAAAAAGACGAACACAUUUGCUGGUCCUUAAGGGUAUGGAACCAACAUGCUAGUCCUCCAGCACUAUAAAUAGCACCCCUAGACUCUUGAGUAUCUCUCACACAGCCAACAACAGAGCAAAGAGUCAAUUUAUUGUAGACACCUCCUACCAUCUUUGUGGGAGCCAAAAUCUUAGCCAUGGGCCGUCCUAGCCGUGUCCUUCCCAUCAUUUUGGUCCUGCAUUUCAUUCUAUCCAUGGCCAGUCCAUCCCUUUCUUGCGUUAUUCCUUGUGAGUCUGAGAUAAACUUGCGCUUAUACUUGCACCAAAUCGCUGCUGGAUCGGGCACCAACCAGGUAGCAAUUGUCGCAUCCAACCAACCAGCCGGGUUUGGUACGACUGCUGUUAACGACUGGACUGUGAUUGAUGGACCAAACCCCGGUACUGCCACCAUUGUUGCCCGUACCAAAGGCAUGCAUGUGCAGGCUGAUGUAGGCGGUCCAGGCUGGUUCAACUACUUCAGCAUGGUGUUUGAGGACGCCAGGUAAUUUAUACUGUUGGACUAGAAGUUCUAGUUUUCUCAGUUACCAAGAUCUCAUAUACUAAAGAUUGUCUGGUUUUAUAUGAUACGUGAUGUGUUACUCUCCAAAACCAUAUCAGGCGCCGUGGAUCGUCAUUUGAAGUAAUGGGGAUGAACAGAGCUCAAGAAGGCGAGAUGGCCAUUAUUGGUGGGACUGGAGAGUUUGCUAUGGCACGUGGGACCAUCAAGUAUAGAGCACUCGCCAACCCCCCUCCAGGCCAAAGUAUUAAAGAACUCAAUAUUCAUGCAUUCUACGUCAAACCAGCUGUAAGUAGACAUGUUUAAUUGGCUACUUAAUUUGUAUGUAUUUGCUUUGUUGUUUCUAGUGUAUCUAUCUAGUUCAACAUGAUAUCGUGAUACCAACAUAGUUCGGGUCAUGUAACAAAAGGGCAUUUAAAUUGCACAGCUAUCUAGUUCACUAAGAAAGCUAGUUUGAGUCAUCCAGAUAAAAAUUAUGAAUCGCUGUUAUUCCUUGAUAAACCUCAAUAUUAGUACCUUAAUGCCUAGAUUCUUAAUAAAUGUAGCAAUGCUGAUAUUACCGGGGAUUCCUUUUCUUUUUCCAGGGCACUAUAGCUGGCCCCACAAUCCAGUGAUAUGUUUGAAAACUACGUGGACAACCACGAUGGGUAGCUGUGGAAGGAGCUUUGCAAUGAGCUUGUCAGUGUUUUCAUUUUCAAAUAAACCAUGGAUUUCUAGCUCGUGAUAUUCCAUCAAUCCAAAGAUCCAUGUCCGACCGUUUGUUGUUGUUUUAAGAUGUAUGUUUGGGAUCAUGUCUUAUCGGUGUGUAUCAGAAUAAAGAAGUUUGGUUUGUGUAGUGAAUUUUUAAUAUGAAGAAUAUUACUCCCGUUGUGUGAAUCUUUACUUAUUUCACACUUACAGUUGAACUACAUUGACGACCUAUAGUAUGUCGGAAAUUGGUCUAAUUACUCAGUUAAACACAAGAGAACAAAUUAUGGCAUGAUCCCUUUAGUAACCAUCAAUGAUUAAAGGAAAAGCAGGCAUUAUCCUUGAUUAAUCAUAGCUAAUUAAUUCUUAACAGCAUUCACCUAUACCUCAUGAGGAUUACAUACAAGCGAACUCAUGCGUACAUUUAUGAGGCUAGUAGUAUUUUUAUUCUAUGCCAUUUGUUAAUGCUAGUACAUGAAUUCAGUUUAAUAACACUAUUAAACAUAUGUAUCUUGUGUAUGUACCAUUGUAACUGAGCCUUAUUGUAUCAGAGUCCCUGGAGUUUACCAGACCAACAGGUAACCUAAGAUAUCGCCAAGGUUAACUUAAGAAGUGAAGCACGUCACAAAAACAAGCGCCGAGAUCCUAAGCCUUUAAGAGCCAACAUAAAUGGCUCAUAAAUUGUCAAAAAGAACUCAAUUGAUCUAAACCUUAGGAAAACUUAAAAUUCAUAGCACACGUCUGCUGUAUAGACUAGCCGCUAACCUGACAUCUCACCAAACCAAUCUUAAAAAGUGAGGCAUGUCACCAAAGUUAACUUCGAGAUCGUAAGCCUUUGAGAAUCGAACAACAUUGGCCUAGUCUUAUACGUACUUGCACACUUUCUGAUUGAAAGUAAUUCAUGAAGGCCAUGUAAAAGAAACAGGUUCUGCCGUUUGUUGUUGUUUUAAGAUGUCUGUUUGGUUUUGUGUUUGGGAUCAUGUCUUAUUAUGUAUCAGAAAUAAAGAAGUUUGUUUGGUGUAGUAAAUUUAUAAUAUGAAGACUCUUUCUCCCGCAAUGUGGAUCUUUACGUAUUUCACACUUCCAGUUGAACUAAUGAAACACCCAACAAUAUUGUCACCAACAAAUUAAAUGAGGAGAGAAAACAGAAAUUAAAUAGAAAAGAAGAAAACAUAAACCAGUCACUAUCUCUUUCAUAUCAGACAUGGAGUUUUUGGUACCGUGUGCACAUGCACCCGUAUGGGUGAACAGUAAAAUGAAGAAAAAUAGCAAAUAAAUUCAAAACAUUCUGCAUUUUUUUGAACCAUUUUGAAACUCUCCAGCCCAUUUCCUUUUGAACUUGACGUGGCCUCAUUUGAAAACAGAGAUGAAGAUCGGUCAACAAGGUAAUCAUGUUGAAACAAGGAAAAGCAUUUUUUUAGCUUCAGCUGCACUUCUGAGUGGUCGAUCAAAAAGACUGUUUUUGAUUGCAUCGUCCUAUGAUAUGGAACCUUGUACAAGUUGUUAGUCGAAGAUUAGCAGAUUGGGGGGGAAAUCAUAUUCAAAGGAAAUGGGUGCAAGUGAUUCAGAUAUCUAGGCUAACUGCUGACCCCUGCCUGUUGGAGACACCUGCCCAAAGGACCAUCAGCGAACAAAAUCUCGGUCGAGAGCAGGCAGUCAGGCUACACCACAGGCCCAACAAUUCUCGUUCGAGAGCGACUGUGGUACAGUUCAGUUGUAGAAGCCAUUCCAUCAUCUAGCAGUAGCAGAGCAGCCAUCAGGGGAGCCUAGUGUACAAGAAAUUCACAGCAUCCUUCUGCAAGAUUCCAAACUGCAGAAUUAUUGUACGUAAAUGCAUGUCCCAACAUCCUUCUGCGUCAUUAUUCAGAAUGAAGCAAAGUCAGUUCUAGCUGAAACUCUCAAACAACAACAACAACAUCCCACUUCUGAAACAGCAACAACAUCCCACUUCUGUUUCUUCCUCGCCUUCAACAGCCAAACCUGUCUCUUCCAGCGAUGCCGGAAAAACACUUUCCUUCUCCUGAUCACACGGGUGGGGAUAACCAACCUCUUGGCAAAACACUUGAGCACCACUCCAUUUACAUAAUGUCCACAGGAAAUGAUUAGAGAACUAAUCAGGUUAGCAAGCAACUACAAGCUACUGUUGACUAGAAACAGUAUCCACAUGCAUGCAUAUAAUCUGAUCUACUCUACAGGAGUGGAUGCUAAUUAAGCUACUAACAGAGCAGGAGGUGCUUCAGGUUAAUUAACUGAAGAAACAAGGAUACAAUCUAACAUUAACUAGCUGCUAGUACAGGCAUAGCAGAGACACAGGGCUCUCGGGUGGCAAUGGUCUCCGGCGGCAGCCUCCCACAUCCCAGGGCGGCGGCGAGGGCGAGUUGUGGAGAAUAAUAUUAGAAACAAUACUACAGAAGCAGAGCACUGACUGGCGCUACAGGAGGAGGCUGCAAAGAUAAUAAACACUUGAAGAAAAAUCCCUGGGAAGACGCCGUUUACCCUGCUAAAUUUCUGUAUGCAAACCGUAAACUAUAGCCGUUUACCUAGGCCCAAAUUCGCCUGGCCAGAAGUAGUCAAACUAUAACUCUCAAUCACGCCAUCAGUAAGUUCUACUGCUAAAUUACACAAGAGUGAAACAGAGUCAGUUCUGAAUAGCAACAUUCCAUUGCUAAAACAGCUCAUGAAAUAGAUUGCCAUUCAAUUAAAGUAUGCAAGAGCCAAGCAAAAACUCACCUACCAUGCCCAAAGGCUUUUCUUCCGCGGCCAAACAUUUUUGGCAAAGCAAAAACGAAAAAGAAUUCAUCUCAGUUUGGCGAUUGGCUGAGCAAAAAAUGACCGGCGUGAUUUACGAAGAUCGGAUCGAGGCAAUCCAGAGGCGAUCGGCGGAGGGAGACGGGAAGUGCAGCUCCCCGGCGGUAUUAUUGGAGCCAAAGUGCGCUGGUGAGGAAGGCAGCGUGCGGGGAGACCACCGCAAGGUAGGAGACCCGCUGGAAAAAGGGGAUUCAUGGAGAAAAAUGAGGGACAAAAUCCAUAGAAAAAAGUAUACAUAACCCCCUAAAGUAUCACGUUUCGGCCACAUCACCCCCUCACCUCUAAAACCAUAUUCUUAAUCCCCUGAAGUUUCUACAACCGGACAAAACACCCCCUAAGCCUGUUUUAAGCGGUUUCCGUGCGCGGUAUUGUCUAUCCAGCAGUCAAAGACCAGUCAAUGGCUAUGCGCAGCCGUGGACGCGGCACAGUGUGCCGUGGAGUUGUUCGGCUCACCGGCCAAGGGCCGGCCUCGAGAGUACGCGCCCUCGCGGAACCCUGGUGCAGGAACUGGUUGCAGAAGCAAGUGGCAGUUAGUAAUCCUCGAUGAGUGGCUCCUGGUGAUGCUGGCCGCGUCUUCGCCGGCGAGGGGGAUUGCCAUCUACGAGAGCGGUCUGUUAGCAUAAUCUUGAAAGUUAGGUUUGUUUCUGUUGCCUGGUAGUAACGUACACAAGUUGGAAAGUGAUCUAUUUGUGUCCGGCUAGUAGUACUAGUUAAGCUCACGUUAGGAGUUAGUAGUCCGGUUAGUCUACGUAGUGUCCAGUCCGUGUCAUGCUAGGUUAGUAGUCAAAAGUACGAAAAGGAUAGUAAGUCCGUAUAGGGCAGGGUCUGGUUGGUCGGCUGGAAGCUGUGUAUAUAUAUACAUAGCCAGGUCACGAGAUUUGUAACGCCGUAUGAAGAAAAGGAGAAAAUAAAAAGAGGGAAAAGAGAGGCACGACACGUGCGUUUGGCAAAAGUUUUCGUGUGUGUGAGUUUAUCGUGAUUUGAUGUGAUCGAUCCUGAGGGCGCAGUUCCAACAAUUGGUAUCAGAGCAAGGUUCAGGAGUCGAGCGCUUGCCCCGGGGUGGCGACCUACUAGCGCCUCGGGGCGGGCAAUGAAGUCGCUGGGUGGUGCAGCGACGCAGAGGAUCAAGCAAUCAUCGUUCGGCGGAGCGACAAGGAGGGAGGCAGUAGGCUGUCGUCGGCAUAGUGAUGGAAGAUGAUCGUUGAUGGGAGCGGUGGUGCCGAGGUGCGGCACUGGAGCUCAUGAAGAUCAUCGUCUGGGCGAGUCGGAUGAGUCAAGGAGUCGUGCGAGUUUGCACAGUCAGUCGUCGUCGUGUCCAAGUGCUCGUCUUGGUGAUGAUUCGUUGAAGUGGAAGCGGUGUGCACGGUGUUCCGUGAGUCAUGUCCAUGUCCUUGUGGAGCGUCUUGGUUGCGGCCAGCAUGGGUUCGGUGUGAUGCCGAAGGCGGACGGUGGUAGGUGAAAUCAUCAUAAAGCGAGGAGGUGUGCGAGCAGUGAAGAGUGGAUCUGCUGCGAGCAAGUACAAGGAGUAUGGUGCGGACCGAGUGCAAGGCAGCGGCCAAGCAAUGGCGGUGGCACAACAUGGCAGAGCAAGGAGGCACUGCAUGUUUCCAAGCGGGUGAUAUUCAGUGUACUGAUAUGACAGUUGAAGAUCAAGCUUGACGUGCAGUGGGACAGUGACCAGUUAAGUUGAACGACGUGAAGACUGAUGAUGCGUCCAGUCUUGCACGUUGCACGUGUAGACGUGAAGACUGAUGAUGCGUCCGGAUCAUGCGUCAGAUUUUAGAUCGUCAAGUCGUGGAUCUCCAACGAGUCAAGAUGAGAAGGAGCAUGAGGAAGAUGACAAGUCAAGAUUAGGGAAAGAUUGUUAGCAUAAUUUAGAAAGUUAGGUUUGUUUCUGUUGCCUGGUAGUAACGUACACAAGUUGAAAAGCGAUCUAUUUGUGUCCGGCUAGUAGUACUAGUUAAGCUUACGUUAGGAGUUAGUAGUCCCGUUAGUCGUAAGUGUCCAGUCCGUGUCAUGCUAGGUUAGUAGUCAAAAGUACGAAAAGGAUAGUAAGUCCGUAUAGGGCAGGGUCUGGUUGGUCGGCUGGAAGCUGUGUAUAUAUAUACAUAGCCAGGUCACGAGAUUUGUAACGCCGUGUGAAGAAAAGGAGAAAAUAAAAAGAGGGAAAAGAGAGGCACGACACGUGUCUUUGGCAAAAGUUUUCGUGUGUGUGAGUUUAUCAUGAUUUGAUGUGAUCGAUCCUGAGGGUGCAGUUCCAACACGGUCAGCGGUGAGGGCGGGGGCUUGCGUUUGGACAAUGGCGGUAUAAACUGGCGCGCGGUCGGGGGCGAGGUGCACCGCGGCGACCUUCAGCCACUCCGGUCCCAGGUCUGGCUGCGGGGCAAGGCCGAGAGGACCAUGUCCAGCAGCAGUGGCCACGGCGUCAAACUCCAGCGCCGAUGCGACACGCGGGUUCUCGUGUGUAUUUCCAGCCGAAGCGAUCGAAUCGAUCAGCUUCCGUGUACGUGUGCGUCAAGCUGGUUGAAUUGAUCAGUUAGCUAGUUCAUGCAAGUGAAUUCUUCAGGCAACCAAAGCCAACUUUGGGUACGCACGUUACGUAUACGGAUAACAGCACCUGCCUGUUAGGCAUCGGGAAACGCUAGUCGAAAUGUAUGCGAUGAGUUGGGCCUAUGCCAACAGCGGCCACUGGCGCGGCAUCGUUCGUUGACACGGGCAACCUUGUGAACCUCGCCCCCGUGGAGUCGGGGUGUGAGCCCAAGAUGGUGAUCACCAGUUCACGACCUACGUCGGGCUGAACCGGUGCCAUGUCGUCGGCGUCAUCCACGAGACGGGGUCACACAAUGCCGCAUCCAUUUACUCCGCAAGAACGUUCUACUCUUCAUCGUAUCCGACAAGAUCGACGAGGCCUGACUGCAGUGCGCCGAGACGCUGCUCCGCCUGCACGGCGCUUGUGGCGAAGCACACCACUACGCAUGCAUGAAGCUUCCAAGGGCACCACGUCAUCUACAGUGAGUUGCUGCUACAGGUGCCCCAGCGCCGGCCCGGCGGUGGACAAGGAUUCAAGGAGACGCUGGACAUGUCCUCUCUCCGGACAUAGAAGGCACUGAACACGUACACAUACGGGAUAUAGGCGGAGCCAGGUGUCCACGUCAGCAAAACCACCUGUGAAAACAACUUAAGAUGGUCGGGCGGGUGUUUUGUCCGGUUUUAGAAACUUCAGGGGAUUAAAAAUCCGGUUUUAGAGUUGAGAGGGUGAUGUGGCCGAAACGUGAUACUUUAGGGGGUUAUGUAUACUUUUUUCUUCAGAAAUUAGACCAAGAUAAAUGUGGAGUUGGCGGCUCAACACUCCAUAAGGCCUUCCACAACGUAGCCGGUGCCAAAUACAUCAAAGGCAGCCACCUCAUCACCGGUGCCUAAAAUUGCUUUUCAGGCAUCGAUCUCACAGCGUAGGGCUUUGGCAGGAAAAAGAUUCUGGGACCCAUAUGAUAAACAAGUACACCACACUGCUGUGUAUUGAGCAAAGAGAGAGAAGACAUUUGCUGUUUAAAGUUGAGAGUUAAUAGUAUUUUAUUGGCUGGAGGAAUUGGGCAUCGGUGCUCCUACUUGCUCCGAUGCCAUGAAAUUUUGUUGGGGCACCGGCCUCACAACGUGAGGGCACCGACUAUCGGAGCCAGAAGUCAAUUUGGUACCUCUUUUGGCCUACAUAAUGGAAGGCCUAAGACUGUAACAGGUUGUCCCAGUGUCCCAGUCUUUAUGACUUAGAUCAAGAAAAUGUAGAACUAAAAUAUUAGUGGUUAGGAUCAUAUUUACAAUGUGGGAACUUGGUACGCUCGCUCCAACAUGCCUAGUGAAAUGUGUACUCUGAUGCACAUAUGAAAUAGGGAAAGUAGUGGCUGCACCCAUCUUCGGUGCACCCAUGCAAUAAAAUAUGGAAAAACAUUUCAAAAAAUUCUGAAACUUUCUGGGAAUGAUCAUCAACAAAUAUUAUGAGUGCUUGCAAAGUUUGAUGAUCAAAUAACAUUCGAGGAGCUCCGUACAAAAAAGAUAAAUUACAAAAUCUGGUCAAAUAGUGCACUUAUAUUUUGACUAAUUUUCAGAGAUUUUGUCUUUUUUGUACAGAACUCCUCGAAUGUUAUUAGACCACCAAACUUUGCAAUCGCCCAUAGCAUUUGUUGAAGAUCAUUCUCACAAGUUUCGGAUUUUUUUUUUGAAAUAUUUUACUAUGUUUUCUUGCGUGGGUGCACCGAGCUGGAUGUAGAAAAGCCACUCCCUACGAAAUAUGACUGGUACAAAACAAAAAAACACUGAGAUUAUACGGAUGAUUGGACGUUGUGACUAACUUGGGUGUCGCUCCGGUCAACUGAGUCAACGGACUUCCCACUAGUAGAAAAAGGAUCAAACGUGAAGCACAUUAGUGCCGGUUUGUAAAAAACCCGGCACUAAUGUGAUCAAUAGUGCCGGUUCGAAUGGCUAUGCAUUAGUGCCGGUUCGUAAUGAACCUUUAGUACCGGUUCGUGCCAUGAACCGGUACUAAAGGGGUGGUGGCAGGCUGGCGUUAGGCCAGGGCCCCACGAACCCUUUAGUGACGGUUUGUGACACAAACCGGUACUAAAGGUCUAACCUAUAGUACCGGUUUGCGUCACCAACCGGCACUACAGAGUCUUAACCUAUAGUCCCGGUUGAAGACACAAACCGGCACUAUGGGGCAAUUUUCAAACUCUACCCCCCCCCCCUAUCGCCAUUUCAGUUUUGAAAAAUCAAAAGAAAAUGAUAAAAACUUCAGAAAAUAAAAUCUUUCGAGAGGUAGUUAUAUUACUACAUCUACUAGUUAGGAAAAUUUGAAAACUUAAAUUUGAACAUGUUUUGCAAAAAGUGUAGGGAAAAUGUAAAACGGCUAUAACUUUUGCAUACGAUGUCGGAAAAAACGUAUACUAUAUUAAAAAAUUCAGCACGAAAAUCCGCAUCCGAUGGAGACCGCCUACAGCCUGUUUGGAAUUUUUUAGAGUCCUCAAAUUCCAAAAGGAAAAAAAGAUAUGGUCAAAUUUCAGUUUUUCUAAAAAAAAUUGGUUAAAUCUGGUCAAACUACUUAUUCAAGAAGUAUUAAUGUUACUACAUAAUUAUACAAGAAUAUUAGUGUUACUAAAUAAUUAUUUUAAUUUUUUGAAUUUUGGUUAAAUAUGGUCAAACUAUGGUCAAACUGUGGUCAAACUAUGGUCAAACUUAUUCAAGAAAUAUUAGUGUUACUAAAUAAUUACUGUUUUUUAGAAUAAUAGUUUCAAACUCAAACGGUGAAAUGUGUGACUUCAUGCUCAAGCUAAACUCCUGAGGGUUAAUAGGAUUAACAUCUUACUAUUGUCAGUAAAACAACAAGUGCAGACUUGGAAACGAAGGAGAAUAGAAUCCGAAAGUUAAGCGUGCUCGGGGAUUAGAGACUAAAUUAUCAAAUAAUUCAGAAAAAUUAAAAAUCGCAAAAAAAUCAAAAAAAAAUUUCAAAAUUUUCAAAAAAAAAAAUAAAAAAACCUUUAGUACCGGUUGGUAACACCAACCGGUACUAAAGGUCCCCCAUACCAGGGCGUGAGCUCACGCCAUGUGGUGGCACUUUAGCGCCGGUUCGUGCCGAACCGGUACUAAGGGGGGGGGGGCUUUAGUGCCCACACUUUAGUGCCGGUUCCAUAACCGGCACUAAAGGCCCUUACAAACCGGUUUUAAAGCUCCGUUUUCUACUAGUGUCCUAAGAGCUUUCUUCUCUGAGAUCGAAACUUCCUAAGAGCUUUUGAUUCAACCUCCACGCUAACUAACUGCUUCCCCUCCACCUGUAUAGCGGGCGCAGGAGAAACUUAGAUGAGUAUUUGAAGUGACAUCCACAUAGAGCGCAAAGCUAUUCAGCAGCUAGAAAAGCCUCAAAUGUACUCACAUCACAUCCAGAUUAAUGCAGGUUGAUUGUAAAUGGGUGUGCCCCUUAAAUUCGCGUGAAUCGAAGUGGACCGAUACCUUGUGUAGAUGGGGGAUUGGGGAGGACGGAGUGGCUGCUGACGACGUGCCCGACGGAGGAGCUCGGAGACCUUCUUGCCGAGACCAUCUGCGAGAGGAAGUAAGAACAGGGUCAGCAGCGGUGGGGCCUUGGAGGAUGUGGAGGGUGGGAGGGAGACUGGCACCGACGACGCGGACGGAUGGCGAGCGGCCCUGGCUGCCCCGGCGAGCGGCCGCGGCACAAGGAAGGGAGUGGAAGACGCAGAUUGGCAACGUGUGGGCUGGGCUUGUGACGUUGGGGUCUCAGAAAACAUAGCCCAGUUCGAAUCUAGUGGUCUCAGAAAACAUAGCCCAACAUAAAACCAGCGCUUGUGUUGGGCCUAAUCGCUAAAUCCAGGCUGUGGGCCUCCCCUUGCGCUCUCUCUCUCUCUCUCAAAAAAAAGCUAUCAUUUCCGUCAAAGAGAGAAGGGGUAGUCUAGCCUUCUCGCCGCCAAGAGAUCGAGGAACCCCGUGGUUGUUCCAUAGUUUUGAAUAGCAUGUAGAUUAGGUUUUCUUUGUUAGUUUUAUGUGUUCUUAGCGGCAAUGGCUUGAUGAUGAAGGAAAUGGCACACGGAGUGAUGAUGGUCUCUCGGCUCCAUUUCUGUUCUAAUUAGGCACUCUUUGUUAACCUUGGAGAGCUAGUGGUGUUUUGGUUCCUCAGAUUUCUAUCGCAUCAAUAUCGUUCUUUGGAAUUGGGUUGUGAGCCAACUAAAAUGGGUUUGUCCAGCGGCACGUAGGACAUAAGAGAAGAGUGUAGCACUAGGCUAAGAAGGAUAUCGAACAUAACAUAAUUGGGCGUUUUCUUUUCUUCUCACCAACCUUCCCCGCCUAGUCCAUCAUGUCUCCUUCUUGCUCAAGGUGUAUUGCGUUUCGACAAACAUAUUGUAUCCACCUCACGUCCUGGGAAAUCGCUGUCGGUGACUUUCAUCCUAUCAUGAUAACAACAUUUUCUUUCAAGAACCCGCCUUCCUUGAAUUUUAUACCAAGUAUAUAAUUGCCGAUGUCAAAACUGAUUGCAUGACCCGGUACAACUCUUCUGUACAAGAAUGAACAGUUCACAUAAAUUGCAUGACCCAGUAUCACUUUACUGUUCAAGAACACCACCUUCAGCUCCUCAUUUGCAAACUUAGGACCCAUUUGGACCACAUAAAUAUCACUAUAUGUUUGCUGCAUUUCACAUGAAACCAUGAUUUGUACAGAAAGAAUUACACUGUUUCAUCCUCGUUACUAUACAACAUUAAUUAGAUCACCAGAACCUCCCACUGCCCUUUUUUUUGGAAAAAUACACAGAAUACUAAUUGACCUUAAAGAAUAAAGGAAGCCAUAUGUUGCUGCAUGAGCAAGAAAAGUAGUCUUCAUUUCAAAAAGAAGCCGAAAGUGCUAGAGUGAAAAAUAUUAUAAGUACGGAAGCUGGAUAUCACCGGCAAGGUGGAGAAGUGGGAGAAAAAUGGUCAAAUGCGGUUAUCAAUCUUUUGAUAUGCAAGCAAGUAAGCGAGCGGGUGUUUGAACUAUCUUUAUGUGAUCAGAACAAAUCCAUGUCCAAUCAUUAGUCUUAAUAACAUCUUCACAGUACUAGGGACUCCCGCAUACUAAGAGCGCUUAAUAAUUUUAUAAUCAGGUGGAGACAUUUUUCAUUACCUGCAAAUAAUAAAUGAGUACGAAUGACGAGAUUUUAUUUCAUUUUCUUUGCAACUUAACCAUAUAUAUUCUACCAUAACUACAAGCACCAAACAUCAGAGUGCCAACAAAGUGAAGACCGAACGUUUAAACAAAACUGCUUUCAACCUCGAGUAAAAGGAAUGUUUCUCUCUCCAUGUACCACUCUCUACCGACUACUCCCUACACCAGGAAACUAUGAAGUCAGCUGUGACGAGAGAAGCUUAGAUGAGGGGCUUGGAUGUAAAUUCAUGUGGAGGAGAACGUGGUAGAGUCGAUGGUGCUGAGGACUAGUGUUGUCACUGACACAUUCAUUCAGACUUGGCACAUGACCAUAAAAUCCAUUGUAACUAAGCAGCAGCCGUGUAGGGAUGUUAUCCCAAGAGCUACCAAGCUCACUGCAGCUCUGAACUCCAGUACCAUCACUGUAGUCUCCGUGGAAUGGCAAUCCAACUUCAAGUGGACAAAGCAAGACACGACAUUGCCAGUGAUUUUCAGCUCAUUUUCCCUCCACCCCUUUGACUCUUAGGUUUUUGUUUUCCUCCAAUAUUUUAGAUGGACUGAAGUUAAAGACGUAAACAAAUCUGAACACAUACCACACUCACUUUAACAUCCUGGGGCAAUAUAUAUAUAGGACUUCUAUGCAUCUCUAAUCUAUUUAGCACUUCUUAUGAAGCAAAUAUAUCAGGAGCAUGUGAUUUAUCAUUCAAGAAUCGUUCAUCAUGACAUUUUUAGCAUGUGAGUUGACUGCAGAAUGGUGUGACCGUACCAUUCUACUUGCAUGUUUAGUUUCCCAUAUCUUGCCGAAAACGAAGUGAAGGGAAAUAUCGUGUGUGGUUGAUGGGUACUCACGUCAAAUGAAUGAGAGAUGUCCAUAAAUGAGUGAGUGGUGGAACGACAAUAGCCUUUUCAAACAAUAACCUUCAUGUAGUCAAAGAACUUAUUAUGCAUGUUACGCUAGUUUCAGUUAUACUUACUAUCACUUGGCAGGCAAAUAAAAACAUAGUUCUCCAAAACCAUUGCAUCAUGUAAGAAUUGUGUGAAAUGGAAAUUGAUAUGAUUUAAAUUUUCGGGUUCCUUUAUUGAUCAGCGUAUCAUAGCAAAGAAACCUAGAAGAAAACAUUGGAGAAAGUGAGGCAUAAAAUGGGAAAUUAUUAAUAGUAGGUGACUGUUGAUGUACAAAUGCACUCCAGUUCUGAAUAAAUAGAUGGACUUUUUCUUCUUUCUGCUCUUCAAUAUUUUCUUCUUCUGGAAGAUGCUAGCAGUCUUAACAUCAUGCUGGUCUGAGGAAAAAAAACUCUAUUUGUUACAUGAUUUUUUGUAAAUAAAAAUAGCAAAUGAGCCUACUGCAGCAGGAAUCCAGAUUCUUAUUCUGAAUAAUGUCAUGGUGAGAAACAAAAGGCUUGUUUUUGUGACAAUAAUAUAUUCAAUGAAAAGAGUACAUGAGGCCUGGGUGGAGUAAUAUAAGUUAAUUUGUCACGGAUAGGGACUCUUGGAUGUCGAAAACACCCUAGAGUUAGAGUCAUCGGGGAAAACACUUGAGAGUGCUUACCACACGGUUAUAAUUAGGAUGAGACAUCUUUUAUUACCAGCAUUGAGUUAUCUAUUUUCUUCCAACUAAAUAUCUACUCUCCAUAACUGCAGCUUCAAACAACAGAGUGCACAUAGAAUUAGAAGUAAAAGGGCCCAUGCGUAAUUCAUGCCUUUCCAAUGUUCAUAUAGAAAAUAUCCGUUCUGUCAUGGAUUUGCGCCUGCAUAAAUUAUUUAAGAAAAAUUACGAUGAUUGUGGUUGUCAAAUUGUGAUGUCCAAGUGAAUGAGAAGAAGAGAGUAAGAGGGUGAGAUGUAGAACAUAGUAGGUGAGAGUUCAGGCAAUUCUCGUUUCAUCAAUAAGUUACGGAGUAUGUGAGAUCCAUGUGCCCCUGGUAAACACACACACUCUUACAAGUGAGACCCUCGAGUCGAAAAACUCAGUGCACUAGAUGAUCUUCUUAUGGAUCACUCCUAUGUUGUCUCUUUCUAGCUGUUAGGCCCUUCGUCAUCGGUAUCCUAAUACUCCUCUGCUCCUUAUUCCCCUAGACUGGGAUCUUGUUCGCCACCAUAGCCAUGGUAGAGAGCACAGCCUGACACGGACAUUGCUCCAUUUGGCUUCCUCAAAGUUGUCGUUAUGGAUAUUGUCAUGUCUACAAGAAGCAAUCGCUUGGCAAUUUGUUGCUUCAAAAACAUCUACUGGAAUCAUAUGGGGUUAGAGGUGUUCUGGUUGCAUGGCAGGUGUUCUCCCCGAAGUUAGAUUGGUCACUGAGAUUCCUAGUUCCAGUUCCAUCAGCAUACCCUGCCAAAUGGUGAGCUCACAUCGCUGUGGUUUUAGAGCUCUUUUUCCUUUCACCUUUUUGACUCUCACAUUUUUGUGUUCCUCCAAUAUCUUAGAUGGAAUGAAGCUAAAGGCGGAAGCAAAUCUGAAUGCAUAUCAGACACUUUGACAUCCUAAUUAAGGCAGGGGUAUAUAUAAGACUUCUGCACAUCUGAAUCCCUGUUGGCUCUUCUUAUGAAACAAAUAUAUUGUGAGCAUGGGAUAUGUGUUGAGAAGGCCAUUCAGGAAUCGUUAGUCAUGAGAAUUUUAUCAUGUGAGUGGACUACAAAAUGAAAUGACCAUUCUACUUGCAUGUUUAGUUUCCAAUCUCUUUCCAGAAAAAUAUCACAUGUGAAAAAUGGUUGAAGGAAACUCACAAUUAAAGAUGUAUUGCAGUAUCUAAACGAGGGAGUGGUUGAACGUCAAAUGCAUGUGCAAACAGGCUAAACCUGAAUGAUCCAAGUAACCAACCUUCAUGUAGUUAUGCAUGUCAGAAAUUCUCAUCAUACUCCAUCACAAGACUGGGAAUUAAGAACAGACAGUUUUCCAAGCUCAUUUUUUCGAAAAGGAGGAUGACUCCCAGCCUCUGCAUCUGGGCGACGCAUGCAUCCAUUUUAUUAAUUAUUCACAAAGACCUUACCAAGUAAUACAUCAGUAAGUCUGAAACCACCAUCUUGACAACAUCUGCCGCUACUCCUAUCCAAUUGUUGAAGGGGUGCCGAUUGUCUAAGCCGAAUACCAAACAGACCUCGCACAAAAGCCUAACAUCUAAAGACGGAACCCUCAACCAAGUCGCGUUGCCGGGUCUGGGGCAGACACCGGUCCGCCGCACUCUCAGAGGCCGCUGCCGCAUUCUCCCGCCGAUCCAUCUUCAGAGCAGGUACAGACGCAUCGACCUUGACAGGCCUGCCGUUGACGCCACCAAGGUGCUAGACAACGCCUUCUCCCUACGCUCGUCCAUCAUGACACAUCCGUCGGCCGAGACCGUGCAGCACCACACCGCCGAGACUCCAUGUUGUUGAUGUGUCACAUGGAACGCCGCUCCACAGCUGGAACCAUCCACUGAUCCCUCAAGCUAUGCUCGUUGCAUCAUGAAAGAUGCAUGAAAUGGAUAGACUAAUUUUUAGCAUAUCAUAGCAAAGAAACCCGCACAAAAUGGGACAUUAUUAAUAGUAAAUAUGACUGGCGUUGUACAAAUGCACACCAGUUCCGAAUAAAAUGGCCUUUUUCUUCUUUCCGCUCUUCGGUGUUUUCUCCUCUUGAAAGGACCUAGCAGUCAAGAUCAUCAUGGAAUAAGGGAAUUAAUGACACUUACUCCAUUUGUUACAUCAAUUGCUGCAGAAACUCCUAACGGUCUUAAGAUCAUGAGUAAACUGCACCAAAAAUACACCUUCAAGGAUGGUCUAACAAAACCAGACUGUAGGACUGAUGAGUAACAAAAAAUGCUUGGCAUUGGCUUGACUAGCCUUUGGUCGGAGAAAAGAGAGCUGAUUUUCUAGACCAUGAUGCACUCGAACCUACGCUCAGCGCGGUCGGAUCCAUUUCUAUUUUCAUGGGGAUCUGUGCAAGUUAAUGUUGUGCAAACCCUAUGUGCAAGUUAAUCAUCAGCUAAAGUGAUUCUUGUGCUAGGUCUUGUUCGGGACCCAUUUCUUCAUAGCAUUAUAGUAUUAAACUGACACACAACCCUAAGCUACAGUGCCAGUCCGGUCCACCAGAAGAACACAAAGACAUAUUUUUAUCCUUUGGUGUCUCUCCUAUACUAAGCACCGUACAUUCUCAUAUCUAGAUAUAUAUUGUACUAUAUUUUCAGUCUCAAAAGUGAUAAAAAAUUGUGUGAAGACCAUGAUUUUUCUAUAAAUCGGUGCAGAUCUUUUAAAAAAAAUUGAUCAAUUGUGCAUGGGAGCUUUUACCAAAACUCCAUGAAAUAUUUACGUUUUUCAGUAGUUUUAGUAAAUGAACUUACUGCUACAAAAGCCACAAAUGUCAAUGGGUACUUCAUCGUGAAAAAACGCAAAAAUGUAAACAAUCUGAGUGUACACAGAACGAGGAACCAGGAAUAAAAUAAAGCAUUGGAGACUGUACUAGAACUCCAGGAUGUUGAAUUUUUUAACACCUACGAAUUCAAACGUAGACUGAUUAGCAUCUUAUAGGUCUCUUGAUCACUUGUGCAUGGUUCCUGAAACAAUUUAAUUAGCUCGUAUCUCGAAAAGGUUGUCAGAGGAUGUAUGGCAGUGAGUGUAGGUUCCGGUGUACCAUGGUCCCAAGCAACAUUUUCGUCGGAGAAAAAUACAGAAAAAUAUGAAGGGUAUCUGUGCCCAGUUACUGCCCACCAGUCACAUAGUCGCGCAAUCACCAUGACAUCGUUGCAAUGUGCCCACCAUCAGCGGCUAUGUAGCCAUAUCCUAUUGAACCCGAGCACGGCGACUGUUACCGGUGCACCAAAAAGCAUUACCGCGUGAGCGUAUCUGAUUGUUCGGUGGCUUAAAAAGGGGCCGAAAACAUGCUGGGCUUGGCUGCAGACUUGCGUAGCUAGCAGAGAGCAUCAAUAAUAAUAACACUGGUCUAUAAAAUAAGAUAGGUGGCUCAUUGACUGACUACAAGAGGCUGUAAAGAAACACACUGGUACCUCAGCUGAAUCAGCUAGCACCAAAAAUAACCAAAGGACACAGAAUCUUCUUACAUAAUACUAUUCCCUCUGUUCCAUAAUCGUAGUACUCGGCCGCCCAGUGAAGUGUUACUUACUCUGACAACUUUGCCACCGAACCAAAGUUCAAGGCCAAUGUCUUCUCAACCAAAUAAUGACGCUGAAACCAGAUAAAUACAUGGAUAGAUUACAAGUGUGAGUAUAGAUCCCAGUUUCUGCUUAGCAUGGGGAAAUGUUGAAGCAAAAAACUGGAGCAGAAACUAAAAGUGCAAUUCAUUCCUCCGCAGACAGACUCACAGUUAUCAGCAGCAGAGCACUGCAAUUGGCUCUCUUCUCUCGUAGGGCCAUCUCAUUCAACAAGCGCAGCUCCAACAUGAUCUUUCUUUGUUCUCCCCUCGUCAACAAAAGAGGCGAGGAUGGUCAUGACCAUGAUCUUGGUCUCCAGCAUCAUUGCAAGGUCAUAUGGUGGCAUAGACAUGAGCUGUGGCUGCAGUAGAGGGCCUCAAUGCCUGAUGGACUCAGUACCACUCAAGACAAACAUUGGUAGAUGAUUAAGCCGGAGACGAUACAUGUAUAUUUGUUUUCCUCCAAUAUUUCAGAUAGGCUGCAGCUGGAUAAAGAGAGAAGCAUAUCUGGAAACAUAUCACAUUCACUUUGACAUCCUAAGACGGUGGAGUAUAUAUAGGAUUUCUAUACACAUCUUUUUUGUAAGCUUUUUCUAGCAAAUAAAUAAAUAAAUUGUGAGCAUGGGAUAUGUCUUCACUCAAGUACUGUUUAUCAUGUUUUUUGAGUCAUCUACAUCCUAAUUGCAUGUUUCGCUUAUGAUUCCUUGCCGGAAACAAAUCGAUGGGAAAUAACAUGUUUUGUUGAAGCCAACUCACAUGAAAGGAAUGGCAGCAAGUUUGAAUGAGUCUCCCGUUCAAGGGAAAUUGCAUUGCAAACAGAUAUGUCUUGAAUUAUCCACGGUAACCAACUUAGAAGUGUAGAAGAACCGGAUAUGCAUGCUAUUCUAGUUCCGCUCAUAUGUACCAUCACUCCAUGUCCGUUGCAUCAUGAAAGAUGACUGAAAUGCGGGAACCGACUCAUUUUAGCUAUGUUUUCAGCUCCCUUUUGAGGACAGCGUAUCAUCCGCAUGAUAUGUAUGAAGAAAUGUAUGCCAAAGCUGUUUAUCAUUUCUUUAUCACGUAAUUUGAUACGGGCGAAACCAUUCCUUUUAGUCUUGUAACUAUACUGCAGAAUCAGAUUAUAUGACCAUUCUACUUGCAUGUUCUGUUUUGGGGAACAACAAACAGUGAGCAUGGGGCAUGUGUUGAUAAAGCAAUUCAAGAACUGUUUAUCAUGUCUUUUGAUCAUGUGACUGGACUGCAGAAUCAUCCGUUACUAUCCUACUUGUGUGCUUAGUUAAUGAUCCCUUGCAAGAAACAAAGUGAAGGCAAGUAUUGUGUUUGCUUGAAGGGAACUUGGUCGAUUAAAAGAAUGGCAAGAAGUUUCUUAACAGCAAGUAGUCGAAAGACUAUCACAUAUGAAAAUGGGUUAGUCUUGUUAUGAUCCACCAUACUAACUCCACGUAGUAGAUGAAUUUAUAUGCAUGUUAUGCGAGUUUUGUUUGUAAUUAAGUACCGUCACUUGACUAGGAAGCAAUAACAGAUAAUACUCCAAGUACAUUUGCGUCAACCCAUGUGCUAAUUAAGGUAGCAAACACACAAGCAUGGACAUGCUGAAAUAGCAACAGUAAGCAUAACAUGUAACAAGAUCUAAAAUAAACUAUCUGGGGUAAAAAAAUAAAAUACUAAAUAACAUCAUAAUCAAGCAUGCAUGUACCGAGACAAGUCAUAUAGGAGUAGCUUGUACACAUGAGGCAUAGGGCUGAGAUUAGCCUACUGUAAGAGCAAGAGCAUACUUAGAGCAUCUCCAACAGGCGCGCAAACGCAUGGCGCGCUAAAACCUUUUUACAACGCGGAAAUAGCGGUCUUUUGCGCAUGGCAGGAUGCUGGCUCCAGCGGCCACUGUAAAUAUGGCGCGCGCAAGCAGCUCCAGCAAGCGCGCUAAACUUACCGCGCGUGCGAGCAGUCGACGCUUGCAAAUAAGAUUUCACAUGUACAUUUUGAUAAUAUGAUGAUGUUUCAAACAUUAAACAACUAUACAAAAUAAAGACAUAGCAAAGUUCAAUUGCACGGCACAUCAACAAUCAUGCCACAUCAUCAUCCAACCAAGAUCAAAAUCACCCUACCAAAUUCAUGAAACAUAAGUUCACACAAACAAAUGGCACAUCAACAAUCAUGCCACAUCAUCAUCGUCCUCCUCUUCUUCCGAUUCUUUGUCCUUAUCCGAAGAUGAUUCUUCCUCCUCCUCUUCAUCAUUGUCAUGCGCCGCAUCUCCCCGGGCUAGGGUUUGCGCCACCGGCGGUGGCAGCGGCGACGGAGGGGUCACAGGUGUAGGGAGGGGUUGGGGGAAUGUCAGCGCGGCUGCCCAUCGGGCGAAUUCGCCGGCGGCGGCAAGGGUGGGGCGACUAGAGAGGUUGGCGGCGGUGCGGCACGGCGCUCGAGUGUGCAUCGGGCGGGAGCGGGCGCACGAGAUUAGUGGCGGGGGAUGCCGUUUCGCUGCGCGUGCCGAACAUUUUAUAUCGCGCGUGUAUUGCGCGUCCGCUGGAGCACCCAGAACGACUGCACGCGCGCAAAAAAGUCAAUUUUUCGAUCGCGGCGCUAAUAUCGUGCGCCUGUUGGAGAUGCUCUUAUAAAAUUAGCACAAACGUCAAGCAGCAUGGUUAAAGAGCUAAUCAAGUUAGCAAUCAACCACUAGCAGCAUUCGACAAGGUAAUCACGUGCAAACAAGAAAAAGGCUUCUAUCUUAACUGUGAAAAGAAGGAGGCCCCAAAUUAUGGAAUACAGACAGUUUCUCGUCCGAGCUAGCUAGGUAAAUCAUCUUCAGAGGAAAUGUGGUGCAGGUUAUUGAGAUGGAGCAUCAAGAAGAUACAUAACACAAUGAGCAGACACCCGGCCUCUGCAUAAUAAGGAUGCAUACAACCAACAUCAACCCACACAUAUGCGAAAUCUCGCCGGCAACAAGCAAAGACAUAUAAGACCAAAGCUAUGAAUAGGCGAGGAGAAAAACAAAGCAAUCAGAUCUAGGAUCGACAAAAUAGAACAGAGACCAUAUCCGCACCACUCAUCUGACAACACCACGUUCACGACCAGGUUCUUCAACAACAACGAUCACAUCAAAUACGAGGAACACACGCACGCAAAAACUUUUGCCAAAGGGCCCUUGUCAUGCCCUCUUUUCUCCACUUAAUUGCUUUUCUCCUUUUUCUCAGGUUACAAUAAACUCACGGAAUAGUUGUGCAUAUAUAUAUAUGCACCAACCGACCCAGGACCUCAAACCGACUUGUACUUGUUCUGCAAUCCGAACCGAACACGACUAGUACUUUUACUAAAACAUAAACUAAGCCACGUUGCCUCUAUUGAAAAAGGCUUUCGCCCCGCUUUAUAAAUAAAGCAAACCGUCAUAGAUCAUACAUACAAGGACUAAUCCACACACACACUCAAGUCUCACAACAAGGUACAAAGGUUUUGCUGAGGGCACAACUCAACAAGCCCAGAAAUAAAAACCAGAAAAAGCCGGAUGAAGAAAGCGCCUAGUAUGGUUCCGGCGGGGGCGGCGGGGGUGGGGGUGGCGGACGGACAGCCAUCGAGCGGAGGUCGGCGAUGAAGGCGGAGAUGGCGUUGAUAACCCGCAAGUAUACGGGGUAGUUGUAGCCUCUUUCGAUAAGUAAGAGUGUCGAACCCAACGAGGACCUAAAGGUAGAACAAAUACUCUCUCAAGUCCUAUCGGCCACUGAUACGACUCUACGCACGCUUGACGUUUGCUUUACCUAUAACAAGUAUGAAACUAGAAGUACUUUGUAGGUGUGCUAGGAUAGGUUUGCAAGAUAAUAAAGAACACAUAAACAAAAAAUAGGGGUUGUUUAGACAAACAUGCAGUAAAGUAAAUAUAGCGAGUGUGAAAAAGUGGUGGUAGGAGUUGGGAAAUUGCCCCUAAGCAAUUGACUAUAUUACUAGACCGGUAAUCACUAUGGCAAUUCUAUUUGAGGGAGAGGCAUAAGCUAACAUACUUUCACUACUUGGAUCAUAUGCACUUACGAUUGGAGCUCCAGCAAGCAUCCGCAACUACUAAAGAUUCAUUAAGGUAAAACCCAACCAUAGCAUUAAAGUAUCAAGUCCCCUUUAUCCCAUACGCAACAAUCCCCUUACUCGGGUUUGUGUUUCAGUCACUCACGCAACCCACUAUAAGCGAAUCAUGAACGUAUUGCAACACCCUACAAUGGGAAUCCAUCACGCUUGCGCGACACGGAGGGCACAAUAGGACAGCAACAUAACCACAAGCAAAUUAAACCAAUCAUAGCAAUUCAUCAAUCACCGAUAGGACAAUGAAAAUCUACUCAGACAUCAUAGAAUGGCAACACAUCAUUGGAUAAUAAUAUGAAGCAUAAAGCACCAUGUUCAAGUAGAGAGUACAUUGGGUUGUGGGAGAGUAGACCGCUGAAUAUAGAAGGGGGAAGGUGAUGGAGAUGUUGGUGAAAAUGACGGAGGUUUUGGUGUAGAUUGCGGUGAUGAUGAUGGCCCCCGGCGGCGUUCUGGCGCCACCAGAAGCGAGGGGGACAGAGCCCCCCCCCCCCAUUCUUCUUCUUCUUCUUCCUUAACAUUCUCCCUAGAUGGGAGAAGGUUUUCCCCUAUGGUGCAUGGCCUCCAUGGCGUGGGAGGGGCGAGAGACCCUCCGAGAUUGGAUCUGUCUCUCUGUCUCUCUCUGUUUCUGCGUUCCUGAUUCUGCCCUUUCACCGUUUUUUUAUAUUCCUAGAGAUCCGUAACUCCGAUUGGGUUGUCCUUUGGACAUGAUUUAUAUCCAGCUAUGGGCUUUCUUGCAGUGAAAUAAGGGCACCAACCGCCCUACGGGGAGGCCACGAGGGUCAGGGGCGCGCCCACCCCCUGGGGCGCUCCCCCUUGCCUCAUGGGCCACUCGAGCAUCGUCUCGCGUUGAUUCUUCUUCCCAAAAAUCAUAAAUAUCCCAAAGAAAAACUCCUUCCGUUUGGACUCCGUUUGAUAUGGGGUUUAUGCGAAACAAAAAACAUGCAACAAACAGGAACUGACACUAGGCACUGGAACAAUAUGUUAGUCCCAAAAAUAGUAUAAAAAGUUUCCAAAAGUAUAUGAAAGUUGUAGAAUAUUGGCAUGGAACAAUAAAAAUUUAUAGAUACUAUGGAGACGUAUCAGUCGUCUGAUUCCUCGACUCUGAUGCACUCACAUCAUUUUGGGUCUUUUGGAGCGUGAUCUGCGCCUAGUCGAUUAUGGAGUAACCGGGUGGAGACGGACGAUCUAGUGGAACUCAAGUUACGACCGGUGUUGAUUUCUGAUAGUGUGUCACCGACGAUACCUGCAUCUCUGGGGACGGACUCCAGGAUGAUAGUGUCUCCGAGACCUGCAGUGGGGGUGAUCGUAGGAACUCCCCCAACUUCUGGCGCCAACCCGGACGGAGAGAGGAGGAUCGCUCAGAUGCCAUACCCGNNNNNNNNNNNNNNNNNNNNNNNNNNNNNNNNNNNNNNNNNNNNNNNNNNNNNNNNNNNNNNNNNNNNNNNNNNNNNNNNNNNNNNNNNNNNNNNNNNNNNNNNNNNNNNNNNNNNNNNNNNNNNNNNNNNNNNNNNNNNNNNNNNNNNNNNNNNNNNNNNNNNNNNNNNNNNNNNNNNNNNNNNNNNNNNNNNNNNNNNNNNNNNNNNNNNNNNNNNNNNNNNNNNNNNNNNNNNNNNNNNNNNNNNNNNNNNNNNNNNNNNNNNNNNNNNNNNNNNNNNNNNNNNNNNNNNNCGUUACCAGCCCACCCAUGGAGGUCCCAAGACACUUUCGGGAGGGGGGCGGGCAGGAGGCCCGUAGAUCCCUCUCACCGCGGGGCAGCUCAGAGCGGUUUGGACAGGGGCAUGGGCAAGAGGCCCGCAUCCCCCUCUUCCCCUGACGACCUCUCGCCCGGCUGACUGUUUGGAAGGGAGAGAGACUGUAGAGCAGGUGGCUCCAUGAUCUCGCUCUCCCGUUGCUACCACGGCUGGCUCCCCCCUCUUGACCGUGCCCUACCUCUCUCCGGCUUCAAGGGAUGGGCGUGCGAGCGGGGAGCAGAUGCCUCGGGAGAGGACUACUAAGGAGCUUAUUGUUUUUGGUGGGAUCUCGGAUCUGGUGACGGCUGGCAGGCGUAUCAGCAUCCGGAUCCAGGGACAACCAUGGGGCACGCCAUGAGGGCGGCCAAGCUUCGAGAGGUCGAGGAAACUACAUGUACUUCUUUUAAUAAGAGUAGUUCAAUUUUGCAUUUUACUGAGCGUGAAAUUAUUAAUGAGGCAAACGACUUAGGUAUAUCCUUGGGUUCGAAUGAGAAAGAGGUUGCGAAAUCCGUAAAUGACCUUUUAGAUUUAGAAGCGGAGAGGGCUUAUGAAAUUAUCCGGAAUCAAGCAGCAGUCAGACCUAUGAAUGACGAGGAAAUGAAAAAUCUAGGAAUUGCCGCUCUUGAAAACAUAAGCAAUAAUCUUUUGUCUAAUGCGCAUGCCGAAGAUGAGGAGGGGCCGAGGAUUGCGGACAUUGUAGAACCUUUAAUGAUAGAAGGUAAUGUCUUGCAGUCUGCCGAUCAUACCCUCCCGCAGGGUGAUGGGGAGAAGCCCAAGAGACCCUGGAAGCAGAAAAUAUAUCCUACUUCCGCAGUUCGUAGAAGUGCUAGGGUUAAGCCGAAGAAAAAAAUCCAUGAUGAUCUAUGAAAGGAAUCUUUUGGAAUAGCAUAGGUCUAAAGACUUGGCUAAAAUAAGGUUUUUGGCGGAGACAACGAUUGAGCAAAAAUUAGAUUUCAUUGCUCUAGUAGAAACAGGGCAGGAUAAUUUCACCUCACAGUUCCUUGGAACUCUAUCUGGAGGUACUGAUUUUGAUUGGCACCGCCUACCACCUAGAGGAAGAUCCGGUGGGAUUUUGCUAGGGGUGCGGUGUGAGACACUUGAGGUAAUUAAUGUGGUAUGAGGGGACUUGGCGGUCAAGUUUCAGGUGAGAUCGAAAUUGUAUGGGUUCUGAUGGCCUCUUGUCGCUGUAUAUGGGGCAGCAUAACCCGAACUCAAACUAGAUGUUUUAGCUGACUUGGUGCGGAUCUGUGGGGACGAGACUCUGCCAAUCUUAGUCGGAGGAGAUUUUAACAUAAUUCAGAGGAGAGAUGAAAAGAACAAUGACAACUAUGAUGGUUGUUGGUCUAUGAUGUUCAACAUGAUUAUUGAGAGUCUUAGUUUGAGAGAAAUUGAGCUCACCGGUAGAUAAUAUACAUGGGCCAACACGUUACUCGAUCCAACAUAUGAGAAGUUGGAUAGGGUGCUCGUAGUGUGGAAUGGGAACAAAAGUACCCAUUAGUGUUGGUGCAUGCGAUGAAGAGGACGAUCUCAGACCACACACCAUUAUUAGUGGACUCGGGAGAAGCUACUCAUAUUGCGAACAAGAACGCUUUCUCUUUCGAACUAGGAUGGUUCAAGAAAGAAAACUUCUUGGAAAUCAUCACACGCGAAUGGGCAAAGCCUGUGAAUGGAUGAUCAAGUGUUGAGAGAUGGAAAAAUAAAAUCAGACAUCUCAGACAAUUCUUACGAGGUUGGUCCAGAAACGAGAGUGGGAUUUAUGGACAAGAAAAAGAACUACUCACCCAAUUGAUUGAUGCUCUAGAUUUAAAAGCAGAAGUCAACCUUCUUAUGGUUGAUGAGCAGAGCUCCAAAUUCGAAGCCAAACAACGCCUUACAAGCUCUUCUUAGAGCAGAGGAGCUGAAGUGGGCAUUGCGUGCUAAGGUUCUCAAGGUUAUCCGAGGGGAUGACAAUAUACAAUUCUUUCAUAUGAUUGCCAAUGGCAAACAUAGGAUGAAGAAAAUAAUACAGCUAGAGAAGGACGAAGGGACAAUUGUGGGGCAUUAGAAUUUGAAAGCGUAUAUCUCUAAUUAGUAUAAAGAACUUUUUGGGGCUCCGGAAGCGAGCACGGUGUCCCUUAAUGAAACUAUUAUUGGAGAUAUACCUCAGCUUCGGGUCGAGGAGAAUGAUAUUUUAUCUGCACCAUUUACUGAGAAAGAGGUUUUGGAUGCCAUUUCACAAAUAAACCUAAUAAAGCACCGGGACCAGACGGAUUUCCAGCGGAAUUCUAUAAGAAGUGUUGGCAUAUUAUUAAGGAUGAUCUUAUGCCUAUGUUUCAUGAUUUUUUAACGGUCAUUUAGAACUCUUUCAUCUUAACUUUGGCAUGAUUACGUUAUUACCAAAGAAGGAAGAGGCAGUUCGGAUCGAGCAAUUCAGACCAGUAUGUCUUCUUAACGUGAGCUUCAAAAUAUUCACGUAGGCACCAAUCGAUUGACACAGAUUGCUCAUUCGCUGGUGCAACCGAGCCAGACAGCUUUCAUGCCUGGAUGACACAUUCUUGAAGGGGUUGUCGUCCUGCAUGAAACGCUGCAUGAAAUUCAUUCGAGGAAGCUAGAUGGGGUUAUCUUCAAAGUGGAUUUUGAGAAGGCAUAUGAUAAAUUUAAAUGGCCUUUCCUUCAGCGGGCAAAGCGCAUGAAAGGAUUUAGUGAGGCUUGGUGGAACCAAGUGGGUUCUCAAGUCCAGAAGGGUAGUGUCGGAAUCAAGGUUAACGAUGACAUCGGCCACUAUUUCAAACACACAAGGGAUUGAGACAAGUGGAUUCAAUGUCUCCCUCCUAUUUAGUAUAGUGGCUGAUAUGUUGACCAUUCUUAUAGGCAGGGCCAAGCAUCACGGUCAAGUGGAAGGACUAGUCCCUCAUCUGGUUGAUGGGGGAGUCUCCAUUUUACAAUACGCUGACAACACUAUCCUCUUUAUGGAUCAUGAGAUUGCAAAAGCGCGCAAUAUGAAGCUCAUCUUAUGUCUCUUCGAACAAUUCUCUGGAUUAAAAAUAAACUUUCACAAGAGCGAGUUGUUCUUCUUUGGAAAGGCUAAAGAAGAACAGGACGCUUAUAGACAAUUGUUUGGAUGUAAAUUAGGUUCUUUGCCUUUCGGUUAUUUGGGCAUACCGAUUCAUCACCGUAAGCUAUCAAAUAAAGAAUGGAAGUGCAUCAAAGAUAGAAUUAAAAAAAAGCUUAGUUGCUGGAAGAGCAAUAUAAUGUCGUAUGGAGGUCGGCUAGUGCUAAUUAACUCAGUACUUAAUAGUAUGCUGAUGUGCCUACUAUCUUUCUUCGAGGUGCCGAAAGGGGUGCGGAAAAGACUUGAUUUCUUUAGAUCUCAUUUCUUCUGGCAGUCGGAUGAGGCCAAGAAGAAAUACCAUCUUGCACGAUGGGAUAUUCUUUGCCGAACCAAGGAUUAGGGAGGUCUUGGAAUUGAGAACUUGGAAAUUAAGAAUAAAUGUUUUAUGAGCAAAUGGUUGUACAGAUUAGAGACUGAACCGGAAGGUAUGUGGGCACAGCUUUUAUGUAAUAAGUAUUUACAGUCGAAAAAGCUCGCCUAGGUCACCGUGAGACCAACUGAGUCACCAUUCUGGAAGGGACUCAUGCGAACGAAAGACUUGUUCUUUCGUAGGGUAAAAUUCUUGAUCGGCAAUGGGAUGACAACAAGAUUCCGGGAAGAUACGUGGUUAGGAGAGACACCCCUAGCCGUACAAUACCCCACCCUGUAUAACAUCGUGCAACAUAAGCAGGAUUACGUUGGAACAGUAUUUGAAACGACUCCCUUAAACAUUCAGUUUAGAUGUGCGUUAGUUGAUGAAUGAUGGAACUGCCUGGAUGCAUUUGGUCCGGAGAUUGAUAGAUGUUCAAUUAUCCGCCCAAACAGAUUCGACACGCUGGAAGUUAGCUAGAAAUGGGGUGUUUACGGUGAAAUCUUUCUAUAUGGACUUGAUAAAUUCUGGCCCAAUCUUGAGAUUGUUACAUAUUUGGAAGUUUAAGGUUCCCUUGCGUAUUAAGAUCUUUAUGUGGUUCGUCCACAGGCAAGUGAUCCUCACUAAAGAUAACUUACUUAAGAGGAGGUUGGUAGGUAGUUCGCAUUGUUGUUUUUGUGAUCAUGAUGAAACAAUACAACACUUAUUCAUAGAGUGGCCAGUCGCCAAGCUGCUUUGGAGAAUGAUCCAUAUAGCCUUUAACAUUACUUAUCCAGUUGAUAUUGAAUCAUUGUUUGGAACGUGGUUAGCUGUGUUGAUAACAUUACUGUGGCUCGUAUUCAGAUUGGAAUAUGUGCGCUCAUGUGGGCUAUAUGGAAUUGCAGGAAUGACAUGAUUUUUAACAGACAACAUACUUUAACUUUCUUGCAGGUCAUCUUCAGAGCAUACGCAUGGAUCUGUAUGUGGUCCUUACUCACUCCUACGGACAUCAGGGAGCCUUUGGUUACUAGGUGCAACCAGUGGGAGAUGGUAGCGCGGGCUAUAUUCAACCCGUUUAGAUGGCGGUUGUAUAACAGGAUCGGAGUCUAGGGAGCUUGCCCUUGGCAUUGUCAUACCGAUUGCGAUUUUGAGCAUAUAAUUUUAAUUUUUUUUCUUUGCUCCGCUUGCGAGCUGUAAUACUUAUUUGUUUUUGUGGUACUCUGAGACCUUUUAAUAAGAUGGCUGCAUGCAUCGUCGUGAUGCAGAGGCCGGGGGCAUGCCUCCAUUUCCAAAAAAAAAGACAUUGUUGUAUAUAGGAUUUCUAUACAUCUAUAGUCUUUGUUAUCUCUUCUUAUGGACAAAACGUUGUGAUCACUGGGUAUGUGUUGAGAAAGUCAUUUGGGAAUUGAUUAUCAUGUAUUACUAAAGAUCAUGUAUGACUAAAGCAUACUCUCAUUUGAUGAUAUAACUUCAAAUAUGUCUUAUUUGUUCUGUACCAUGUUUAGAAAUACAUAUCAAAACUGAUGCCAAAAAGUGAAUGUAGUUCCAAAGUAAUAAAGCGAUCUCAGGUUGCUCCGAAAACCAUCAUUCAUCUAGUAUCAUUUUUUACUGUCUCGUUUUUGACUAGCGGACAUACUUUACAAGUGAACGUAGUACCAAAGAAAUAAAACUGUGUAGCGCACAUUGCCGUCAAUUGCUAGACAAAGCUACAGAGACGAUUUUGUACAAAAUUUGUAAAACUUAAAAUUGCUUGACUUGAGACAAAGUAGAAACUCAAUUAAUUUGGAAUGGAGAGAGUAUCACCCGAAAUUAUACAACAAAUGAGGAAAAGAGAAUCCUAGAUGGUACAGUGAAGUAAUUAAAGCCUCUUCAUCUUAUAUGAGCCGAACAACAUAGCUUGCUCUACAAAAAGCAAUAUGUCAAUCGAAGUUGUCUUAAUUUUACAACCUCUACUAAUGACAUUAUUAGUAUGAUUAGAACGAGUAGGCUAUCUUCAAACCUCUGACCAUCACCUCUCCGGCCUCCAUUGGGUGUCCAGAAGCUAGGAAGAAGAGUCGAGUAUAGAUGGAGAGCUGUCUCUAGAUGAAUAAAGGACCAAAAAUUUGCUCAUAUCUUAACUUACCGAGAUCAUCGAUUUCACUGAAAAAACAUGGUCGAUGCAUAAAUAUAGUGCAUAUUGGUUUUCUUAUUCACCCUGGGGUUGGGGCGGACUAUUUACAUGUUGCCUGGAAAACAAUUAUGGAAAUGGACAGACGGAUCAUCAUCUUCUUCCUCCAAUCAUAUCCUUCUCACGAAUUGUUUACUUUCUUCCUCGUAUUAGACUGACGUGAUGGCCCACUGCCUCUCCUCUAGUCAUCUCCUUCAACGACAUCCUAUCCGAGCCCUCGUUGGUGACGCCAUGACAAUAGAAAAAAGCCCCCCCCUCCCCCGGACCACCGCCCGCACACACAUGUGAAGCCUCUCGUCUCCGCUUGCGGCGGCGGCGGCGCUGCUGCCAGCCGCAUCGCCACCGGUUCCAGUUUGCUCCCAGCUCAGUCUCACUGGCAGUUGCCGCAUGACACCGUCUCAGCCUCGGAACUCCACCUUGCCUCCCUUUGUUCUCCCCUAAAAUUAAUUUACACACGCUCGUUUUUCAGGUAACCUACCAAUAGAAAAUGCACAUGGGGUCAAACAUUGCAUUCAUUUUCCUCCUGUACAUGAAAGGCUUAGCUUCGAAUUUCUCCAUACAUGGUUAAACCAGCUGUUCAAUGCUAGAAGGGGUGAUCAUCUAAGCCUUCAGUCCUACUAGUGUUUAAAUACUAUAGCCUGACAAGGAGCUAUUCUGACCUCAUGCAUGCAUGCGAAGGCCAACAGGUAUAUGUUGUAGCUUAUCCAAUGAUGCAAAACCUACAUGUUUGUACGACAGAAUAUUUAGAAAUAUUCUAUAUUAACUGGAGUACCGAUUGCUUUGAAUACAGCCAAAUAUAAUGUCAAUAACAAAAGAUGGAGAUAAGGACUCCCUUAUAAAACUGGUCGGAGUAGUUCAUUUCUAAAAUAUGUGUGAAGACGAGAGGCUUAGUCAUUUUAUAACUUUUGUUUGACGUGCCUUGAAAGAAUCGUAUUGUUGUGCACUACUGUAAUGGAAAGGAAAAUCUAUCCCGUGGAAUAGAAUCGUGUUGAGAGCCAGCACGACGUGCCUGUCCUUGUGGUUGUCAGGAAUUAUCUUGGACGGCUCGUGCAAAACGUUCAGUCGGCAGCUCGGCAAAAGCAGCAAUGUCAAGGCCUAUGCCCGUGCCUCCAGCUGGUGACACCGUCGGGACUGCGUGAUCUCCUGAUUUGUUUCAAUCGAUUAAUUAGCAACUAUACCUUAUCUUAGCAUAUUUUUGCAUAUAAUUAUCAAACUUAAAGUAGUUUGACUCGGGACAAACCUAGAUAAUUAAUUCAUAAUGGGGAGUAGGACCCACAAUUCUCUAGUAAAUGGGAAAACAUAAAGACCUUUUUUCCAUUAAGAAAAGAAGGAUAGCUCGUCCUAGAUAAGGCACUAAGUCAAUCGUCGUUGUCUUAAUUUUAGAAUCUCUAUUGAUGCUAUCUCCAUUUCGGUUAGGACGAGAAGGUUGUCCUCGAACCUCCUACCAUCAACUCAUCCAAGCUAUUUUGUUGGAGCCAAAGCACAGCGCAGGACACUGACUUCAUUUAUCAGGAGAUUGUUUGCACGACCUCCAUCGGUGUGUGUAAUGUAGCAUGUAACCCAGAGCUAGGAGACGACGUAUAAUGUAUUGUCCAUAAGACCAGAACCGCCAGAAGGCUUGAUCAUUUAGGACAAAAAAUAUUGUAGCUCGGACCUGCUAUGGUUUUUAAAUAAUACAGUGUGCCUAUGACAAGGCCAGCAUGUAUAUGCUCUAGCUUAUCCCACUAUGCCAAACUAUAUAUUAUUAUGACAGAACCACAAAUCAUUUAGAAAGAUUCUAUAUUAACUGGAGUGCCACUUGCUUUGAAUACCGCCAAAUAUAGUUUCAAUAAAAGGAGAUGGGGACACAAACUGCCUUUCCCUUAAAAGAAUGGUUGAAGUAGUUCGUUUGUGAAGUAUAUGUGAGAAGACCAGAGGCUUAGUUAGUCAUUUUAUUCUGUUUUUUAUGCGCCUUGCAAGAAGUAUAGUGGGUUAUAACUUAUACUUCUGUUUUUUUUUCUUUUUUAUAUCUGAUUGGUUAUCUCCAGCAUAUAUUCACAUGAAGGGGCCACUUACUAUAAAUUUCAUUGAAGUUUCUUCAUGUGAGUUGAGUUGCUACCAUUUAUAUACUACAAUCGAAACUAUGAAAGAACAAAUAAUAAUUUCGGGAAUGCUUGGCGGAAAUGAAUUUAUCUUCAUGCAAGGUGGAUGAUUGCCUAGGGUGGAGCCCGUAUAUCUGCAUUCAUGCUUAGGGUUGGCGAUUCACAAUGGCGGAGAACUUGCACUAGUUAGGCAUGUUGUCAUUAGUUCCAUAUUUCUAGUGAAUGCAGUGGUGGGUGUAGCGCCAUUAGUAAAAGCUAGAACUGAUAAGGCCGCGCUCAUUGACGUUCAUUGGAACAAGAUUGGGUUUUUCCGUGAAGUAGAUGACGAGAGUCGUUGCCUCGAUGAACAUAUCGAGGAUGUGUUUGAGGCGGGCAGCUGUAACGGAAUUCCGACGAAUAAUUAUGAGUGUGUCGUCGGCAUACCGAAGCACACUGGUAACCACCUGGAAGAGGUAGGUGGAGAUGAGGUCCCUCUGUUGCGGCCACUCUUCUAGUGAAUCCACUUCCCUGGGAUCGUGUUGAGGACAACGGCGGAUCGCGUGGUUGGUAAGAUAGCAUCCAUCAACCCAAACCAUCUGGGUGGGAACACAUGAGCCUUGAGGAUUUGCCGAAUACUUGACCAAUUGAUGCAGUCAGGUGCCUUGGCAAAGUCGAGCUUGAUCACAAGCGUGGUUUUGGUGUGCUUGUGGGAGGACUAGAGUCACAUGGCCUAGACGAAGUUUCCCGAGAUGAUGGAGUCCGUGAUGAACCCUGACCGGUUAGGAUCAAUAAUUUCCCAAAUUUGUCACUGCAGCCUAGGGUUGUGAUGAUACCCUUGCAUAGAUCUUUAUGCUACAAUUUUGCAAGAAAACCAAACGGUAGGAGCCUAGAGCAAGGAUCUUCUCCUUUUCUAGGAGCAACACGAUGAGCACACAGUUGAUGCUGCCUAGAUCGAUGUCACUUUUAUGGAACACAUGGAAGAGGCGCUUGAUGUCGGGGGAGACGGAGGCCCAGGCGACCAGUAGAAGAUGAGGUCGAGACUACCAGGGCUUCCAUUAACUUUUUCGCGUGAGUUGUGCUGCUACCAUUUCAUCUACUAUCGUCACACUGUAAAGCACAAAAUAUCGAAGUUGUUGAUUGCUUGGCAGCAACACAAUAAUCCUCAUGGCAGAGGAGUUCAUAACAUGAUGGGACCCUUCAAUUCACGGGGACAUGUCAUGUCUUAAAAAAUAGUUGGACUAGCUAGAUUCAUACAUAUAUGUGAAGACAACAAGCUUAGUCAUUAUAAUAUUUCUGUUUGGCCGGCCUUGCAAGACAUAUAGUUUUGUUUUGUUAUAUCUGAUAGAUUAUCUAGAGCAUAUACUCAAAUGAACUAGCCACUUGCUAUGAUUUUGGAUCAAAAUUUUCCUGUAGUUGCAUUGUUACUAUUUCUUCUACUACUGCUCACACUAUGAAGCACAAUAUACUAAAAUGACUAAUUGCUUGGCACUAGCACGAUUAUCCUCAUGGUAUGGGAGUGGUUAACAAGAUGGACGGCUAAAUCGACGAGGACAUGGAAUGCCAUAAAUGUUUCAUUGGAGUAGUUGAAUUCACAAAUAAGAACACAAGUGUAGUCAUUCUAUUCCUUUUGUUUGACAGGCCUUACAAGAAACAUUUAGUUUUGUAUUUGUUGCAUCAAAUAUAGUACCAGUGCGUAUACUCAAAUUAAUGAGCUUGUUGAUACGUAUGAUUUUCAAUUAAAUUUGUUUUUGUGAGUCGUGUUGCUACCAUCUCCCUUAUACAACUAUUGACACUAUGUAUGACAAAAUGCUAAAUGGCUAUUUGCUUCGCAAUGGUGCAGUUAUUAUUACAUUAGAGAAAUGACCAAUAGGAUGGAGCUCCGAGAUCUAUUAGGACGACCUGGCCUUCCUUAAAGGAACGGAGGAGUAGUUCAAUCACAAUGUAUAUGUGAAGACCAUGGGCUUAGUCAAUUAAUUCUUCUUGUUUGACUGACCUUGCAUGAAACAUAAUAGUUUAAUAAAUGAUCCACUUGCUAUGAUUUUCAGUUAAAUUUUUUCAUCUAAGUCGAGCGUCACGACCACUCAGUCAAAUGGGUCAGUCUUGUUGCCGCAUAUACAAGCAAAAGCACGUGUGCAAGUUAUGGACAUGGUGUGAGGCCAACUAAGCCAUAGUUUUCUCACUUAUAUAAGAUGUGGAUCAUAAAUAUAAGGUAUAAGAUCCAAUACACUCAAUCAAACAUUACAAUAAAGGUUGAACAACGGAAACAUGGAUAAUCAGCUCAUACACUUUAAUCCAUGCAUUAUUUUAUAUAAAAUAAAAUAGGUGAAUCUUCACACUCGCAACACUGAUAGACAUCAAUAUGCUCACCAUUUUUAUAGAUAUUAUUAAUGUUCCAUGAGUAGUGCCUUUUCAUCGGGCAGUUGAUCCCAUCAUGCGCCCUUGACCUGUGCGAAAAUGGGAGAAAUUUGGUCAAGGAUAUUUCUCUAGUCUGAGAAAAUAUAUCCGUAGAAAAAUGUCCAUUCAUUGGAUAUUCAGUUUAAGUUAAUCUAAACUAACUAAUAGGAUUGAGUCAAGUCUAUUCAUUAGAUCAUCAAGGUAAUUCACUGUAAAAGAUAAUAAUGUAAAUACCAUAAAUAGUUGGUACAUAACGUUAUAUAUACACCAUAUGGACACACAUUUGAAGUGUAAAAAUAUUCAAUUGAUAUAUGGUGCUGUAAAUAUCGGUAGUGUUUCUUGGUACUUAAAACAAGUGCACUCGGGGGCGUGUAGAAUGCGCGAAUAUUCAGUUCCCGAAUACUCUCAAUGCCAGCAGACUCCUGGAGUAUUUUGUAUUUGAUAGUACCACAUGCCUUAGUAAGUUCUCCAGUUCCACCAAUAAUGGCCCAUUCCCCCACGGGAUUAAAAAUCACCAUCACCUGAAGAGUCGCUCCCUUGAAGCUAGUUCACACACAAAAUCAAAAGUCUCGAUUCUAUGCCAUCUAACAAAUAAAAACUCUGUGCUCAAAUAUACUACGAUAAUGCCUUUAAUAUAAGCACUAGAUAAGAAUAGUAGUCAUGGAAUUAUUUAUUGUUCUAUGCAAGUACAUAAGGUUUUGCCUUCCCUCCACAAAAGCAAGGUUGAAAGAAUUGUAAUAGCCAACACUUGGUUGAUCAGCCAUGACAUGAAUUCCUUGUGCAUGACCAACGACCUUCGCUUUGAAAUCUAGGGCAUCAACUAUGGCCCAGUUAUUAACAUUGGUGAUACCAAACAAAGUCUCACCAGGUUUUGUUGGUAUGGUUGUCUUUUGAUUGGCGUUUGGUCCUACGAUGGUGCAGGUACAACGCCAUGUUUAGCUCCUUUUCACACGGCAUGCAACAUUGAGUAAGGUAUAUUUGGGGAAGAGGAGUGGCCAUUUUGAGACAAUCGGAUUCAAGUGGAUGGGUGUGGUGACUACCUAUCCAGAAGAGAAACUAUAUUUGUGUGAUUCUCUGGCUUUCUGUGUGCUAUGGCAUGCAGUGUUGGGCAGUAUUUAUGGUAUGGAAGCAGUAGGUCGACUCAAAAGAUAUAUGUGCAUAUCACACAAUUAGUCCGUUUAUUCCUUUUAUUUGACUAGCCUUGGAAUAAGCAUAAUCUUAUUUUGUAUAUCUUAUAGAUUAUCUGGAGUGUAUCUUUACAUAUCCAUGAUCCACUUGCUAAAAUUUUCAUUUUAUGUCCGUCAUGCAACACGCAUUGCUACCUUUUGCCAUAACUUUUCACGCCGUGAAGUACAAAAUACUAAACGAUCUAAUCCCUAGGACUUGGUCCAUUGGCCCCUACAUGCGAUUUGUUGUAAUUCCAUGCGGAGAGGGACAUGUACCAACUGUGAAUAUUGUUUUUCUUAUCGUACACCAUGGGUUCAGUAGGGGAAGCUAAAGAUUGCAGGAUUUUUCCCUUCGUUAGCUUCUCUGUUCUCAUUCCAGGCAUAGCUUUGGCUUUUCUUAGCACAUUUGCUCACAGUUAUCUACUGUAGCAUCACCUAAUUAUGUUAUCCAUAAUACCUGAACCAGCUGUUCAAUCCUGGAAGGGGUGAUCAUCUAAGACAGAAUAUAUGGUGGUUCAGAGUAUUACUUAUUUUAUGCAAUACGGCCAGUGUCUCUAGGAGUUAUUCCAACCCCAUGCAUGCAUGUGAAGGCUAGCAAUUCUAUGCUCUCCAAACGAAUUAAUUAUAUAUUAACUUGAGUACAACUUGCUUUGAUAACGCCAAAUAUACUGUCAAUAAUAAAGAUGGGGACAAAGACCCUCUUAAAAGAAUGGACGGGGUAGUUUGCUUCCCAAAUAUAUGAGAAGACUAGAAGCUUAGUCAUUGUAUUCCUUUUCUUUGACUGGUCAUGAAAGCUGCAUACAGUUUUGCAUCUUUUUUUUGUUACAUCUGAUUGAUUACGUAGAGUAUAUAAUCACAUAAAGGAGGCAAUGCUGUAAUUUUCAAUGCAGUUUCUUUGUGUUAGUUCUGUUGCUAGAUUUUUCUUGUACUAAUAAUGUUCACACAAUGAAUACAAAAUUCUGAAACUCCUGAACUCCUGCUAGCUUGGCAGCAGCCUAUGGUAGAGGAUUGGCCGAGAGGAUGGAGCCUAUAUACCUGCAUUCACACUUAGGGCUGGUGAAUCAUGAUGGAUGAGAAGUUUCGCCGGUCGUGCAUUUGCUCUUCCAUACCAUCUUUCUAGUGGAAUGGGAAAUGGCUCUGUACAUGGAAAACAUAGGUCCUGAUAACUGCCUCUCUCAAUGGUUUGUUAUGUCACAUUCACCCAAAAUAACAUCCCUCUAGGCACAAUACAAAUAAAACCAAGAUAAAGCUACAAGCACAUUUGGAAUUUUCCUUGCAUGCUAUUACGACGCCCGUGUGAUGCUACAGAAUUAUAAAAACGUAUUAAGAGACGUUGAUCAGAUCUUUUUCGCCAAAUUGAAAAGCAUUUUUGAACAUGAUUCGAGACUUUCUCCUGAUAAUUUGCUCUGGCAGAAGACAUAUGUGUUCAUGAAUUUAUACACCAUUUAGUACCCUAAUAAACAGAAAGGAACAUUAUGCUUGUGAAUUCAAAUCUUGGCGAGAGCUUAGCAUCAUGUGCUUGCCCGGGGUUCUACCGGACGGCUCUUGAAAAACACAUAGUCAUUAUAUUACUUCUCUUUGAUUAGCCUCGGAAGAAGCAUAGUCUUAUUUUGCAUAUCUUAUAGAUUAUCUGGGGUGUAUAUCUAAAUAGAUGACCCACUUGCUAAAUUUUCCAUUUUUAUGUCCUUCGUGCCUUUUGCGUUGCUACCUUUUUUGCCACAAACUUUUCAUAUCAGGGAGUAGAAAAUACUAAGCCAUGUAAUUCCUGGGACUUGGUCCAUUGGCCCCAUGUGCUCAAACAACAUAAUAUCAUAUCAUGUGCUCCUGAUAGAGAGCCUGCUCUAUCUAUAGACAGCUAGCGUAUAAUAUAUUAUCCAUACGACCUGAACCGCUAGAAGGUGUGAUCAUCUAGUAAAAAAUAUAUGGUAGCUCAGACCUAUUAAAAUAUUUAAAUAAUACAGUUUGUCUAGGAGUUGUUCCAACUCGAUCCACAAUGUGAAUGCCACCAAGUAUAUGCUCUAGCUUAUCCCAUUAUGCCAAACCUAUAUGUUAUUACGACAGAACCAUAUCGCUUAGAAAAAUUCUAUAUCAGUUGGAGUACUACUUCCUUUGAACACUGCCAAAAAUAAUUUCAAUAAUAAAAGAUGCGGAUAAGGAAUCCCAUACAAAAUGGUUGGAGUAGGAGUAGUUUGUUUCUAAAAUAUACGUGAAGACCAGAGGCUUAGUCAAGACUAUAUUUCUGUUUCGUUAUAUCUUAUUGAUUGUCUCUACCAUAUAUGUACAUGAAGACUAGAGGCUUAGUCAUUUUAUUCCUUUUGUUUGACGCACCCUGCAAGAAGCGUAAAGCUUUAUACUUCUGUUUUGUUAUUUCUGAUUGAUUGUCUCUAGCAUAUAUUCACAUGGGGCCACUAGUUUGUUCAUGUGAGUUGUGUUUCUACCAUUUCAUAUACUAAUGUUAAAACUGUGAAUAACAUAUACUGAAAUUCCAGAUUGCUUGGCAGCAACGGAGUUAUCCCCAUGCAAGGUCGAUCAUUUGGCUAGGGUGGAGCCCUAUAUUGGCAUUCACACUUAGGGCUGGCCAUUCAUGAUGGUGGAGAACUUGCACCUGUCGUGCAUGUUAUCAGCGCCAACUGUCAAGUGAAUGUAGAAGUGGUUGUAGCACCAAAACUAAAAGCUAUAAUGGAUAAGGGUUCCACGUGCGUAUGAUGCCAAACACAAGGUCCUGAUAACUUCUUCCCUCGAUGCGUUGUUCCAUAGCAUUCACCCAAAAUAACAUCCCACAACGCAUGCCGCAACAAAGAAUAAAAACCAGGAUCAAUAACAAUAAUUGGAAUUUUACUAACAUACUAGUAGGGGUGUUGGUGCGCUGCUAUGGAAAUACAUAAAGGUGUUACCGAGACAGUGAUCGGAUAUAUUUUUUGUCAAAAUGAAAUGCCUAUUUUAAAAAUGAUCCAAGUCCUUCGUGCAACAAUUCCACUACAUGUCAUGCAUGUAUACAUCGUUAAGUCCCCUCGUAAAGAGAAAAGAAUAUAUGCUAAUGUGGCAAAGAGAUUCUUCCUCCCGCGACGCUCCCGUGGGCGUCCGGGGGGCCUAACCCUAGCGCCGCCGCCGGUCGCUCCCUCCCCCACUCCCUCCUCCCUUGCCGCCGCCCGAGGGCGCGAGCGGGCGAAGCCCGCCCGUCGCAGGCGGCGGCGGGGCUCUCUCGUCUCCGCGCUCGAGGGGUACGGCGCGGGACGGAUGCCUCAGCCCGGAUGCGGCGCUUGGCGCUGGGCGCAGCAGCUCGACGGCGCUCCGGCGUGGGCCGACGGCGGGGCGUGGCGGCGAUGCGACGGGCAGCGCGGAGGUGGUGUGGGCUGGAGGUCGGUGGUGGCGGCGGCUGCAUCCGGUGGCGCGCCCAGAUCCGCCUCCGGAGCCGCGGGUCGCGGGCGACCUGGGUCGCGGUCGGCCUCUCCUGCCAUGGCUCGUGGGCGGGGGGCGGCGCGGCAGCUGGUGGAUGUGUGCGCCGCUGCCCGGUCGGGCCUUUGCGGCUGGUCGGCGUCGUACGGCACGGGAGAUCCCUCCGGUGGUCAUCCAUGGACGUGGCGGCGAGCGCUCUGCUUCCUCUGCUCCGGCCACGGGCCGCUGCCGUGGUCUCGCGCGGGGCCGGACCUAUGGCAGGGUGGGGCGAAACUGGUGGUUUCGGGACGGGGAGCUGGUUGGAAGGACUGGAGCUCCGUUGCGGAGCUGCCCAUCGCUGGCCCAAGUGGUUGCCAGUCGUGGCCGUGGGCCAUUCCUCCCCCUCCCCCCUUCCCCAUCCUCAUGUGUUCUCGGUUCCGGCGUUGCUCGAGGUGGAGGUGGUUGGCCGGCGGUCUCGGAGGCAGUUUGGGUGCGGAUUUGCUCAAAGUCUCGGCCUUUGGUGAUCAUCAGGGCGGUCUGGAGGCAGAGCGGCGGCUCUGGCGGCAGGAGGCGCGUUGGUCGUGGGCUGACCGUGCGGCUCGGGUGCGGGCGGGCAGCCACGGUCGCUUGGGCGGCAUGGCUGCGGGUGGUUGGUGGAGCGGGGUUGCGACGGAGAGGUUGGAGCACCGGGGUUCACCACUUGACCAGUCCCGGUACUGGCCGACGGAGGCGGCGUCCGCGGACGCCGUUCCCCUCCCUGCAGGCUUCGUCGUGGUGCUCCCACCGCCUCCUACGCGUCACUCCGGGUGAAAACUUGAUCUUCUGGAUCAGAUGAUGACGGCUUUCUACGGUCGUAUCCUUCUUGAGGGUGUCGUCUUGGAGUCCCCGCUUUGGUCGUGUCCGGCUCAUCACUCCUCGGUUGAUUGUUCAUCUUCAUGGUGGUUAUCGGCUUAUCAUUAGGGUGCUUAGUCGUCGUUGGGGUGAUGUGUUCGGUGCUCGGCACCUUUGUAUCUCGCCUUGGGUGCGUGCGUUGAGUGUGGUGGUGGAGUGCGUUUGUAUCUUACUCACAUGUGUUGGUGAUGAUGCUUUAUCUAUAAAGCGGGGGAAACCCUUUUUCUUAAAGAGAAAAGAAUAUUGAG
RNAcentral lists this long non-coding RNA (40983 nucleotides) under Triticum aestivum (bread wheat). RNAcentral describes it as "long non-coding RNA (TAES_LNC028425)". Lineage: Eukaryota; Viridiplantae; Streptophyta; Magnoliopsida; Poales; Poaceae. The record is from RNAcentral.